RNAcentral lists this ribosomal RNA (256 nucleotides) under uncultured bacterium. RNAcentral describes it as "partial 16S ribosomal RNA". It matches the Rfam family "Bacterial small subunit ribosomal RNA", at positions 1247 to 1500 of the family's 1533-position model. The record is from RNAcentral.
CAGCCAAGUCGUGAGGCGGAGCUAAUCCCUUAAAGCCAUUCUCAGUUCGGAUUGUAGGCUGAAACUCGCCUACAUGAAGCUGGAGUUACUAGUAAUCGCAGAUCAGAAUGCUGCGGUGAAUGCGUUCCCGGGUCUUGUACACACCGCCCGUCACACCACGGAAGUUGGGGGCGCCCGAAGCCACUUAGCUAACCCUUUUGGGAAGCGAGUGUCGAAGGUGAAAUCAAUAACUGGGGUGAAGUCGUAACAAGGUAAC